AACGAACGCUGGCGGCAUGCCUAACACAUGCAAGUCGAACGAGACCUUCGGGUCUAGUGGCGCACGGGUGCGUAACGCGUGGGAAUCUGCCCUUGGGUUCGGAAUAACAGUUGGAAACGACUGCUAAUACCGGAUGAUGACGUAAGUCCAAAGAUUUAUCGCCCAAGGAUGAGCCCGCGUAGGAUUAGCUAGUUGGUGAGGUAAAGGCUCACCACGGCGACGAUCCUUAGCUGGUCUGAGAGGAUGAUCAGCCACACUGGGACUGAGACACGGCCCAGACUCCUACGGGAGGCAGCAGUGGGGAAUAUUGGACAAUGGGCGAAAGCCUGAUCCAGCAAUGACGCGUGAGUGAUGAAGGCCUUAGGGUUGUAAAGCUCUUUUACCCGGGAUGAUAAUGACAGUACCGGGAGAAUAAGCUCCGGCUAACUCCGUG
This 433-nucleotide ribosomal RNA is filed under the name uncultured bacterium. Its description in RNAcentral is "partial 16S ribosomal RNA". It matches the Rfam family "Bacterial small subunit ribosomal RNA", at positions 29 to 507 of the family's 1533-position model. The record is from RNAcentral.